AGGGCAGGGGUAAGGCUUGUCUACAUAUUACCCUCCCCAGACUCCCACCUGGUGGGAAUAUACUGGGUAGUUGUUGUUGUUGUUGUUGUUGUUUUGAGGGGAAGGGUGGCAUGUUCAUUGUGUAGCUACUAUUUGCAGACUUUUGCAUUGUUAUUCAGCAAUAAGCUAUUUUCAUUCUCUUUUCUGGUAACUUGUUCUUCUAAUGAGAUGGUGUCAUCAUGUAAUGUCUUUUAGAUAAUAAACUUUGUUGAGCCAUAAAUUCGAGAACAUUUCAAGCCCCAAAUCCUAUUUCAAUGGAACAUGAUGCAGAUAGGAAUUCCGACUUGUUGGUUGUGUUCUUUUGGGUAGUUUUUGUUCAUCUAUAACUCUGGUGUGUUCAUGUUCCAGUAGUUUGUAUUACUUAAAACUUUUGAUUUAUAGCUCUGAAUUUGCAGCUGGUUUGUUUUGUUCACAGGAGCAUUAGCUUUUAUGGAUAUGGAACAAAAAAUACUAUGAUAUGCCCACAGAGUAUAGCAUAUGAAUGAUUCCAACUUGNNN
This 537-nucleotide long non-coding RNA is filed under the name Nicotiana benthamiana. RNAcentral's name for it is "long non-coding RNA (NBEN_LNC010937)". Lineage: Eukaryota; Viridiplantae; Streptophyta; Magnoliopsida; Solanales; Solanaceae. The record is from RNAcentral.